RNAcentral lists this small nuclear RNA (104 nucleotides) under Jaculus jaculus (lesser Egyptian jerboa). The record is from RNAcentral. Lineage: Eukaryota; Metazoa; Chordata; Mammalia; Rodentia; Dipodidae.
GUGCUUGCUUCCACGGCACAUGUGCUAAAAUUGGAACAAUGCUGAGAAAAAUUGGUAUGGAUGGUAAAGAUGACACGCAAAUUCAUGGAGCAUUCCACAUUUUU